AGCUUUGUACAGUGGCAGUAUUGUAGCCAAUGAGGUUUAUCUGAGAUGCUAUUAUUGCUAACUGAAAACUUUUCCCAAUAUCCCGCCAUGACAACUUGAAAUAUACUCGGCAUUGGCAAUUUUUGACAGUCUCUACAGAGA
Cebus imitator (Panamanian white-faced capuchin) is the source of this 141-nucleotide small nuclear RNA. Its record names the gene U4. It matches the Rfam family "U4 spliceosomal RNA". From Rfam's summary of the family: U4 small nuclear RNA (U4 snRNA) is a component of the major U2-dependent spliceosome. The structure of U4 snRNA from yeast and human has been reported. Lineage: Eukaryota; Metazoa; Chordata; Mammalia; Primates; Cebidae. The record is from Ensembl.